Long non-coding RNA from Neogale vison (American mink), 363 nucleotides. RefSeq lists it as uncharacterized. The record is from RefSeq and is a predicted model, not a curated record. NCBI's taxonomy places the organism in Eukaryota, Metazoa, Chordata, Mammalia, Carnivora, Mustelidae. The transcript has 3 exons.
GGCUUAACCCACUGAGCCACCCAGGUGCCCCUAUGGAGAACUUAUUUCCAUGGAACCUCCUCAAUAACCUGUCUGAAGGCAUGGCUCUGAGGAAAAUUCUCCAAGGACAUGGAAAAGUCAGUGUUUGGCGGGAUAGAUAAAGGCCGAGGUACAUGGUGAUAAGGGCCUCUUCAACAGAGAAGCGAUUUAGGUGACAAUGCUCUGAAAUUCUGGGGAAGAUUCAGUGACUUUGGAGGAAGUUACUGAAGUCCCUGUGUCAUGAAGACGGAAAGAUGCCCUUAGACUAAGCCCAAAGAAUGUUGGAAGGUAAGAGAAAAUCUUUCCUCCUCAACAACCCCCACCCUGAAAAGCUGGGAGUCCUCG